GAAGCAUAAGAUGCAGAUUUGUUCUCUUCAGAUCCAUCGAAGUGUCUCCCACCAGGCAUCAUCAGCAUUCUUGGAUGAGGAAGCAACGCCCCAGUUACAUCACCCCACCAAUCAGGAUUCUGAAUGUACCACUCCAUAGUCUUCUUCAAGCCCUCCUCCCAAAUUGUUCGUUCUGACCAUCCUAAGAUCUUCAGCUUCUGAUCAUCAAGAAAGUACCUCUGGUCAUUGAAUGGCCUGUUAUCUACAAACUUAAUGUUUGUCUCAGGGUUCAUUGAGAAAAGCUUGCAUAUAUCUUUAGCCACAUCUAUCACUCUUCUUUCCUUCUU
RNAcentral lists this unclassified non-coding RNA (326 nucleotides) under Hevea brasiliensis (rubber tree). The record is from RNAcentral. Lineage: Eukaryota; Viridiplantae; Streptophyta; Magnoliopsida; Malpighiales; Euphorbiaceae.